GCCAACAUAGCUCAGUCGGUAGAGCACUCCCAUGGUAAGGGAGAGGUCAUCGGUUCGAUUCCGUUUGUUGGCU
Molecule: transfer RNA, 73 nt
Filed under: Patescibacteria group bacterium
Lineage: Bacteria
Description: tRNA-Thr
Rfam family: tRNA
About the family: Transfer RNA (tRNA) molecules are approximately 80 nucleotides in length. Their secondary structure includes four short double-helical elements and three loops (D, anti-codon, and T loops).
Source: RNAcentral